Long non-coding RNA from Bactrocera dorsalis (oriental fruit fly), 636 nucleotides. RefSeq lists it as uncharacterized. The transcript is spliced from 2 exons. The record is from RefSeq and is a predicted model, not a curated record. NCBI's taxonomy places the organism in Eukaryota, Metazoa, Arthropoda, Insecta, Diptera, Tephritidae.
UCUUCUUUCCGCAUGUUUAUGGGCGGCAUACUAGCUAGUACUUCAGCUGCUUCGCUGCCAUGCCUCUACCAGCAAAUAUUUGGGAACACCUGUCAAUGGGUAUGUUCAGUCCUUCGUCCCAAAACCUUAGUCCUUUUUUUAAUGGUUGGCAAUGCCGUAACCAAAGGCAAUAGGAAGAAGGAAAAACGAAAAAAGGAGAAACAGCUGAUCGAGAAAAACAAAACGGCAAAUUAAAAUAAAGCGCACAUUUUGAUCCGCUGUUAUAAGGGGAAAAAUAUAAUUUAAAUUUUAUUUUAUGCAAUUUGCCACGAAAAGAAACAAGAACUACAAAGAUCUACCGUCUACCUCACUCAAACACUAAUAUGCAACCCGAAAGCGAUCGCGCCCGUGCUGAACAAAUGCCAAACCCAUCAAAUGACGAAGUUAUCCUCUAUGGCACUCCAAAUGCAGCACUAGAGGAAAGAGUGUUCAAAAAUAUGAGAGAUGCUGCUCAGUGGCCGCAUAUUCAGAAGGACGCAAAUCGAAAAAGAGUUUCAAAAUUAAUGCAGUUGCCACCAAGAAACACAAACAAGUCGAUUCAAAGAGAUUUCCGCAAAAAGUUGUCACCUCGAGGACACUUCUGAUUUUAAAAAUUAU